CCUACGGGGGGCAGCAGUCGGGAAUUUUGGGCAAUGGGCGAAAGCCUGACCCAGCAACGCCGCGUGAAGGAUGAAAUCCCUCGGGAUGUAAACUUCGCAGAAAAGAGAGCGGUAUCAUUUGUAAGCUCCGGCUAACUCCGUGCCAGCAGCCGCGGUAAUACGGGGGGAGCAAGCGUUGUUCGGAUUUACUGGGCGUAAAGGGCGCGUAGGCGGCAGCACAAGUCAGUUGUGAAAUCUCCGAGCUUAACUCGGAAAGGUCAACUGAUACUGUGCGGCUAGAGUGCAGAAGGGGCAACUGGAAUUCUUGGUGUAGCGGUGAAAUGCGUAGAUAUCAAGAGGAACACCUGCGGCGAAGGCGGGUUGCUGGGCUGAAUGACGCUGAUGCGCGAAAGCCAGGGGAGCGAACGGGAUUAGAUACCCUUGUAGUC
RNAcentral lists this ribosomal RNA (428 nucleotides) under uncultured bacterium. RNAcentral describes it as "partial 16S ribosomal RNA". It matches the Rfam family "Bacterial small subunit ribosomal RNA", at positions 338 to 795 of the family's 1533-position model. The record is from RNAcentral.